CCUACGGGUGGCAGCAGUGGGGAAUAUUGGACAAUGGGCGAAAGCCUGAUCCAGCCAUGCCGCGUAUGUGAAGAAGGCCUUCGGGUUGUAAAGCACUUUCAGUGGGGAAGAAAGCCUUGGGGCUAAUACCCUCGAGGAAGGACAUCACCCACAGAAGAAGCACCGGCUAACUCCGUGCCAGCAGCCGCGGUAAUACGGAGGGUGCGAGCGUUAAUCGGAAUUACUGGGCGUAAAGCGCGCGUAGGCGGUCUGAUAAGCCGGUUGUGAAAGCCCCGGGCUCAACCUGGGAACGGCAUCCGGAACUGUCAGGCUAGAGUGCAGGAGAGGAAGGUAGAAUUCCCGGUGUAGCGGUGAAAUGCGUAGAGAUCGGGAGGAAUACCAGUGGCGAAGGCGGCCUUCUGGACUGACACUGACGCUGAGGUGCGAAAGCGUGGGUAGCAAACAGGAUUAGAUACCCUUGUAGUC
RNAcentral lists this ribosomal RNA (465 nucleotides) under Vreelandella stevensii. RNAcentral's name for it is "partial 16S ribosomal RNA". It matches the Rfam family "Bacterial small subunit ribosomal RNA", at positions 338 to 795 of the family's 1533-position model. Lineage: Bacteria; Pseudomonadati; Pseudomonadota; Gammaproteobacteria; Oceanospirillales; Halomonadaceae. The record is from RNAcentral.